Non-coding RNA from Flavobacterium beibuense F44-8, 310 nucleotides. It matches the Rfam family "Bacterial RNase P class A". Rfam says of the family: Ribonuclease P (RNase P) is a ubiquitous endoribonuclease, found in archaea, bacteria and eukarya as well as chloroplasts and mitochondria. The record is from Rfam. NCBI's taxonomy places the organism in Bacteria, Pseudomonadati, Bacteroidota, Flavobacteriia, Flavobacteriales, Flavobacteriaceae.
GCCGCAGGCCGCCUUAUCGCUGCGCUUAGGCGUGGAGGAAAGUCCGGACACCGUAGGGCAGCAUAGCGGGUAACGCCCGUCAUUCUGCUUAGGCAGGAGAGGACAAGUGCAACAGAAAGGAUGUACAGGUAAUGCUGUAGUGAAAUCAGGUAAACUCUAUGCGGUGAAAUGCCAUGUAUACCGGCAAUUAAGGGCUGCCCACCCAAUGCCGGGGGGUAGGCAGAUAGACCCCUGUAGUAAUACAGGGGCCAGAUAAAUGAUAAGGGUCCCGUAAGGGAUACAGAAUCCGGCUUACAGGCCUGCUUUUCUU